Molecule: ribosomal RNA, 600 nt
Filed under: uncultured prasinophyte
Lineage: Eukaryota; Viridiplantae; Chlorophyta
Description: SSU rRNA
Rfam family: Bacterial small subunit ribosomal RNA
Source: RNAcentral
AGAGUUUGAUCCUGGCUCAGAAGAACGCUGGCAGCGUGCAUAACACAUGCAAGUCGAACGGGAUUAUUAUCUUCGGAUGAUAUNAGAGUGGCGAACGGGUGAGUAACACGUAAGAAUCUACCUUUAGGACGGGGAUAACUUCUGAAACGGAUGCUAAUACCCGAUAUGCUGUGGAGUGAAAGGAAUUUCGCCUAAAGAUGAUCUUGCGUCUGAUUAGCUAGAUAGUGUGGUAAUGGCGCACUAUGGCGACGAUCAGUAGCUGGUCUGAGAGGAUGGACAGCCACAUUGGAACUGAGACACGGUCCAAACUCCUACGGGAGGCAGCAGUGGGGAAUUUUCCGCAAUGGGCGAAAGCCUGACGGAGCGACGCUGCGUGAAGGAUGACGGCCUGCGGGUUGUAAACUUCUUUUCUCGAAGAAGAAUAAAUGACGGUAUUCGAGGAAUAAGCAUCGGCUAACUCUGUGCCAGCAGCCGCGGUAAGACAGAGGAUGCAAGUGUUAUUCGGAUUGAUUGGGCGUAAAGCGUCUGUAGGCGGUUUGGAAAGUCUUUUGUGAAAUUCUUCAGCUCAACUGGGGGUCCGCAAAAGAAACUUCUAGGCUU